Molecule: ribosomal RNA, 486 nt
Filed under: uncultured bacterium
Lineage: Bacteria
Description: bacterial SSU rRNA
Rfam family: Bacterial small subunit ribosomal RNA
Source: RNAcentral
AGAUACGCGCAGAACCUUACCAACACUUGACAUGUUCGUCGCGACUCUAAGAGAUUAGAGUUUUCGGUUCGGCCGGACGAAACACAGGUGCUGCAUGGCUGUCGUCAGCUCGUGUCGUGAGAUGUUGGGUUAAGUCCCGCAACGAGCGCAACCCUCACUUUUAGUUGCCAUCAUUAAGUUGGGCACUCUGAAAGAACUGCCAGUGAUAAGCUGGAGGAAGGUGGGGAUGACGUCAAGUCCUCAUGGCCCUUACGUGUUGGGCUACACACGUGCUACAAUGGCAUCUACAACAGGAAGCAAAACGGCAACGUUAAGCAAAUCCCGAAAAGAUGCCUCAGUUCGGAUUGCACUCUGCAACUCGAGUGCAUGAAGCUGGAAUUACUAGUAAUCGUGGAUCAGCGUGCCACGGUGAAUGCGUUCCCGGGUCUUGUACACACCGCCCGUCACANCCAUGGGAGUUGGUUCUACCUUAAGGCAAGGUNUNAA